RNAcentral lists this ribosomal RNA (490 nucleotides) under uncultured bacterium. RNAcentral's name for it is "partial 16S ribosomal RNA". It matches the Rfam family "Bacterial small subunit ribosomal RNA", at positions 30 to 507 of the family's 1533-position model. The record is from RNAcentral.
AUUGAACGCUGGCGGCAGGCCUAACACAUGCAAGUCGAACGGUAGCAGGAAGAAGCUUGCUUCUUUGCUGACGAGUGGCGGACGGGUGAGUAAUGUCUGGGAAACUGCCUGAUGGAGGGGGAUAACUACUGGAAACGGUAGCUAAUACCGCAUAACUUCGCAAGACCAAAGAGGGGGACCUUCGUGCCUCUUGCCAUCGGAUGUGCCCAGAUGGGAUUAGCUAGUAGGUGGGGUAACGGCUCACCUAGGCGACGAUCCCUAGCUGGUCUGAGAGGAUGACCGGCCACACUGGAACUGAGACACGGUCCAGACUCCUACGGGAGGCAGCAGUGGGGAAUAUUGCACAAUGGGCGCAAGCCUGAUGCAGCCAUGCCGCGUGUAUGAAGAAGGCCUUCGGGUUGUAAAGUACUUUCAGCGGGGAGGAAGGGAGUAAAGUUAAUACCUUGGCUCAUUGACGUUACCCGCAGAAGAAGCACCGGCUAACUCCGUG